This 552-nucleotide ribosomal RNA is filed under the name Triticum aestivum (bread wheat). Its description in RNAcentral is "partial small subunit ribosomal RNA". Lineage: Eukaryota; Viridiplantae; Streptophyta; Magnoliopsida; Poales; Poaceae. The record is from RNAcentral.
AUGUGUGAUACGGAAACUACUUCUCUCAAUGUGAAUAAGAACCGUAUGCGUGCUGUCAAUAACUAUGUCAAGCAAUGUGGUAUGUUUGAUCUGGGGUUUAGUGGACCGGCUUAUACUUGGACAAAUAUGCAGUUCUCCUCUAGACCUAUCUUUGAAAGGCUUGAUCGUUGUCUUGCCAAUGCAGAUUGGUGUGUUAUGUUUCCUAAUACUAAUGUUUUUAAUUUACCAAUCAUUCAUUCGUUGAGUGAUCAUGCACCUAUUCUGAUAUCCACUGAUUCUCAGUUCCAUAGGCCUAAACUACACUUUAAAUUUGAAAAUUGGUGGACUUUUGAGGAAGAUUUCCAGGGCAUUGCUAAAAAUGCUUGGGACUCCUCGGUUAAUAGACCAUUCCAUGUCAGAACCAAUAACCUUGCAGGGACUUUGAAAAGGUGGUGCAAAAAGAAAAAACCUUUACAACAUCAACUUGAUUGUAUUCAGGAUCAGAUCAAUGAGAUUCAAAUGAAGCUGGUGCAUCUCCAAGACUAUUCCCUUCAGGCAAGCCUAGUUGCCUAA